UGAUAUUGGAACGUUUGUCCUUAUAAUCCUUAUUUCCGGUUCCGGAGCAUGAGACAAGAGCGUUAGCGGUUUUGGCUUCCGGCUGGCGUUUAAGUCAAAAAACUGGGCGCGGUGGCUACAUCUGAUUGACUGAAAUGGUGGCCAACGUGUGGUACUCGGUACCUACAACGGACACACGGGAGCUGUGCCUGGGACACCAAAAAUGCUUUGACAGGAUCAGCUGAAAACAGCUGACGAUUGUGGGACUGCGAGACCAGUGGGUGAAAAGAAAAUGCAUGUGUUGAGAUAAAUAGAACUUUCUGUGAAUCCAUUGGGAGUUCCGGCAGCAGUACAACAACAACAACAACAACAACAACAACAACAAACAGAAAUAGGUAAAAUACAAUCACGAGUAGCAGCACACUGUCAAUUAAUAUAGGAAAUCUGAUCUAAAUUAAUGUUAGUAGUAUUAGUAGGUGAUUAUUGUUGCCAUUUUGUGAUGUGUUGUUGAUUGCAAUCUCAAUUAUUAUGUGUUAUAUUUUUGUUAUACUAUUGCUUUUCUAAAUU
This is a long non-coding RNA of Cynoglossus semilaevis (tongue sole), 546 nucleotides long. RefSeq lists it as uncharacterized. The transcript has 3 exons. The record is from RefSeq and is a predicted model, not a curated record. Lineage: Eukaryota; Metazoa; Chordata; Actinopteri; Pleuronectiformes; Cynoglossidae.